UAGUUAUGCAGUCACAAGACUACUCCAGACUGUUUUAUUCUUUCUGUACACUCACCUAGCCCCUUAUCAAGACUUCCAUGCUGUUUCCUGGCUUUUCCAUAUAGCGAUUUCAUUUUAAAUAUAAUAUUAAAAAGCCUCAGUCUUCCAAAACCUUUUUCUUGUCCAGUAAAUUUUCUGCCAUAAAAUAAACAGUCUUCAGAUUUAGGACUGGUUCAGUUAUUUAUUGAAGUAUAUGUGAAAAUGACUAAACUCGAGCAAAUGAGAUAUAUUAGAGAGUUUGUCACAAGGUCUUCCGAAGGAUCUUUUACAAUAUUCAACAUCUACGCAACACUUCCCUGAAAAGGGCGUGAGCAUAAUUUAACAUGAAGCGUAGCUCUGCAAUAACAGUUUUCUUUUCCCUGUCUGACGUGUGAUAGAGUUACAAAAGAAAACGGAUUUGGAACAGGUGCCGGUUAUACAGUGGAAGCAAGAAGACUCUGUGUCCAGCUUCUGUGACCUUGUGACCCUCAAGGGAGAAAUCCGAUUCCCCUGCGCCGACUGGCACACUCUCCUUCGACUCCAGGAGCUCCACUGGUCUGGAGAGUGGGAGAGAGAAAGUUCCCUCGUACUCGGAUGUGCUGAAGAUUUUCCGCUACAGAAAUUAGACACCCCCCAUCUUGAAAGACAGCGAGACGUCUGUCUUUUCCUGAUCUUGUCAGAUCUCAGAAGCCAAGGGGAAGUUGUUUGCUUCGAUUCUUCUAGCUUCGAUUGUUUUCAAAAGCUACAUACAUUUGGAGCAGGACAAGAAGGGAGCAGGCUGUAGUCAAGACCACGCUGGCAGGCCUAAAAGGGAAACCAAGUUUCAGUUUGCCGCUGUGAUUAGUGUUGGUGGACCAGGAGGGGGCGUCUUCCGACUGGACCAGAAUGACCCAAAGCUCCAGUAAGACGACAGGGGUCACUGUGCUGUAGCAGGUGUCGC
Molecule: long non-coding RNA, 958 nt
Filed under: Lepisosteus oculatus (spotted gar)
Lineage: Eukaryota; Metazoa; Chordata; Actinopteri; Semionotiformes; Lepisosteidae
Description: lncRNA (ENSLOCG00000021807.1)
Source: RNAcentral